Molecule: ribosomal RNA, 382 nt
Filed under: Citrobacter freundii
Lineage: Bacteria; Pseudomonadati; Pseudomonadota; Gammaproteobacteria; Enterobacterales; Enterobacteriaceae
Description: bacterial SSU rRNA
Rfam family: Bacterial small subunit ribosomal RNA
Source: RNAcentral
GGUGACGAGUGGCGGACGGGUGAGUAAUGUCUGGGAAACUGCCCGAUGGAGGGGGAUAACUACUGGAAACGGUAGCUAAUACCGCAUAACGUCGCAAGACCAAAGAGGGGGACCUUCGGGCCUCUUGCCAUCGGAUGUGCCCAGAUGGGAUUAGCUAGUAGGUGGGGUAACGGCUCACCUAGGCGACGAUCCCUAGCUGGUCUGAGAGGAUGACCAGCCACACUGGAACUGAGACACGGUCCAGACUCCUACGGGAGGCAGCAGUGGGGAAUAUUGCACAAUGGGCGCAAGCCUGAUGCAGCCAUGCCGCGUGUAUGAAGAAGGCCUUCGGGUUGUAAAGUACUUUCAGCGAGGAGGAAGGCGUUGUGGUUAAUAACCGCAA